RNAcentral lists this long non-coding RNA (496 nucleotides) under Eutrema salsugineum. RNAcentral's name for it is "long non-coding RNA (ESAL_LNC000627)". The record is from RNAcentral. Lineage: Eukaryota; Viridiplantae; Streptophyta; Magnoliopsida; Brassicales; Brassicaceae.
UCGGGCUUUUCCGGGACUGUUAUCAGCCAUUCGCUAUGGCUUUUAGCUCUUCCCUCGCCUCCUCUUUUGGCGCAUAUAACCGUUAUUCCCUGAAAGGUGAAUUGCUUUUUCUAGUGAUGAACAUUGUCAUUAUACAAAGUGGUUAUUUAGAUUCUAUAUGAAACUUACUUACAUCUUUGGAGUUUAUCGAAAAAUUAUUGAAAGCAACCGUUUGCUUGUCAUCAAAGACAUUGAAAGCCUCCGGGAACUGCAAUGUCAAACUCCAAUAAUGAAUGAAUGAACACAAAAGAAAUGUAUUUGUGCUAUGUUGAUUUAUGUAACUUAAAAAUUGGGCCGACCUUGGCCAGAUAGUGUUGAUUGGCCUUAUUGGGCCGGCGAGAAGAGAGAAGACAAGAGCCGGUGAAUAAUUGGUCGCCGAGAUCGUAGAGAUGGUGGCGGAGGAGGUCGGUGUCGAGAUCGGAAGAGUUGUCUUGUCUCACAACCACCACGUCUUGGC